This 253-nucleotide ribosomal RNA is filed under the name uncultured bacterium. Its description in RNAcentral is "partial 16S ribosomal RNA". It matches the Rfam family "Bacterial small subunit ribosomal RNA", at positions 524 to 776 of the family's 1533-position model. The record is from RNAcentral.
UACAGAGACUGCAAGCGUUAUUCGGAUUCACUGGGCGUAAAGGGUGCGCAGGCGGCCAAGUGUGUGAGGCGUGAAAGCCCGGGGCUUAACCCCGGAAUUGCACCUCAAACUACAUGGCUAGAGCAUUGGAGAGGGUAGCAGAAUUCAUGGUGUAGCAGUGAAAUGCGUAGAUAUCAAGUGGAACACCAGUGGCGAAGGCGAAUCCCUGGAAAAUACCUGACACUGAGGCACGAAAGCUAGGGGAGCAAACAGG